UUGUUUUCUGAGAAUCUACUGAACCUACUGGUAACUUGUUUGCCACGUAGCAAUAAAAAAAUAUACGAAAAACCUUGAUUAUUCUGGUUAGUCACAUUGUACUGCUAUUAUUUUGAACAAUACUGUAUGAUAAGAUAAGUGUAAAAACAACAGAUAACAACCAUUUUCUCGAGGCUCACUUUACACAAACAUAUAAAACAUAUGGCAGAAAACCUGCUCUUGAAUCAAACAAAAAAUAUUUUCCUAAUAUGCUGGAGCUUUAUACACAGCAUAAAAUAUAUUUAUGGUAUUUUCUUUCACAUUAUGUAUAAUUAAUAAAAAGGAAUAAGCUUAUCCUGCCAGUUUCAUGGAAAAUAUUCAGUUUGUUCUGUGGGAGGAAAGCAAAGAACACUUGGCAGGAGUAGAAAGAGUCUGAAUAAAAGAAGAAAGAGUGAGAGAGAAAAGCAUCCAGGUGAGUCUCUCCCACAGUGACAGAGAUUGCAGUUUCCUUCCAGCUGCCUUCACUCAGGUCCUCUUUUGCUGUGGCCCUGUGCUGCAGAUGAAGAAUGAGAGGGUGGUUGAACGCCGCAAGGCAGAUGUGAGAAGAAAGGGGAACAAACUGAGACCACACAGUGUGGAGGAACACACACACUUACAGCAAAUCCACAGAUAAGUUUUUACUGUGAACUCUAGCAUUUAAACACAACCUUAAGCUCUUCCAGACUCUGAAGGCUUGUUUUCUGGUUUGUGAUGUUUACUGCAUGCAUACUUUGGAAAAACAGGAUCGCUCAAGCAUUUUGGACAGAAUGACUUAAGCAGAGUAUAAAAACAAGUAAGGUGACCUCUGGCAAGGCCUGGAGGUAAAUAAAUGUAUUGGACCUGUUUGAGUCACACAGGCACACACACAGAAUUUAUGUCCCUUUUCAAACACUCUCACUGCUUUCCAAGUGUUCGGACAACUAUAGAUCCAACAAACAGCCAUCCAGGACUUUUCAUGCUCCCUGAUCUCCCUAUUAAUCUUCUCCCCACCCCCAACUCUCUUUCCUUCUCUGCAUUGUCUACUGAAUUGAAAUACCCUCCAAUGUAGACUGCUUCCAAGCAACCUAUGAAACAGAAGCUUGGAGAUUGUGCCAGACAAUCCACCCACUUUCAUUUUUUUUCUUCUUCUUUUUCUUUUUAACCAGAGUCAGCACUUUAACAUGGUACCCACAAUACCUUGUGUUUGAUCUUCUGCUCCAGCUAGAGACAAUGAUCCUUGCAAACCUGCAUGUUUUCCCUUCUCAAACACAAAAGAACAUUUUCAUCGAUAUAGACAACCUUACCUGACGUAAGUUUGAGCUUUAUGUCAGAAGAAUAUUACUUUCAAAAAUCAUAUAAUAUCAUAUAAAUCAUAUAAUACAAUUUACAUCAUUCCAAAGCAGCUUUACAGAAAAUGCUAAAUGGAUUUUUAUCUAAAUGGAUUUAGAUAUCCUAAGUACUAAUUAAAGUCUCAUAACCUUAAAGAGUGUGAUGGAUUGUAGGGCAUAAGAAGAUAAGUUAAAUAUACAGGAGCAAACCAUUUAGGGCCUUAUAGGUUAGUAGCAAUAUUUUGAUAUCAAUACGGAACUUAAUGGAAAACAUAUUCCAUAGCUUAGCAAUGUUUCUGAGGUGGAAGAAGGCCAUUUUUGUAACAUGAAAUAUAAUUUUUGAAAGGUAAGUUGUUCUCUAAUAUAACCCCCAGGUUAUAUUUUAACUGCAGAGGAUGAUGUAACAGUACAUCCUUUUAGUUGCAAAAUGUAUUCUAAGAGAUUCUGUAUGCAGGUUUUUGGUCCAAUAAGUAAUGCCUCAGUCUUUCCAGUUUUCAUCUGGUCAUGAUGAAAUAUAUAACUGAAUGAAAUAUAUAUGAGUACCAACGGCAUAGCAGUGGAAACCAAUUCCAUGUUUUCUAAAAUUGUUGCCAAGUGGCAGCAUGUAUAUUGAAAAUAACAGAGGGCCUAACACAGAUCCUUGCGGCACCCCAUAACUUACUGAUAUUAACAUGGAUUUUUCACCAUUUAUGUAGACAAAAUGGUAAUGAUCUGCUAGGUACACUCUAAACCACCAUAAUGCAAUGCAUAAUGCAUAAUGCAAAUAAAGAAAGAUAACUAACUAUAUACUAGCAUCCAGACCAAUUCACAAGCUGCAGUUAUGUCAUCUGCCUCUUUAAAUGCUCACGCUCUUAAAAGUUGGGUGGAUUCUGACUGGCUGUUAAUGUUUUUUGUAAGUAAUGUUGGGCAUUUAUAAUUAACUUUAAGCAGGUUCAUGUCUAAUAUUUUCACAAACUAGAAUCAUGCUCUACUAACGUCCAUGCAGACUUCCUCUAUUUGUCCAAACACAAGAAAAAAACUGAAAAGCAGUGACUUCAGGGCUCUGUUACUAACUGAAGUCUGGCAUAUUUGUUCUAAAAUGGCCAUACUGAAACAGCAAAACUGUCCCACCCAGUGUUAUUGUAAAUAUCUUCCAAAAAGUCACAAAGAACAUGGAGAAGUCUAUUUCACAUCUGCAAGAUGUAUUUUUUUAGUGUUUGCUCAUCUGCAAUACGUCUUUGGGACAUUUCCUUUCAGAUGUCAAAUAGGCCUUUAGAAGUUUUCUUUAA
Long non-coding RNA from Cyprinus carpio carpio, 2593 nucleotides. Lineage: Eukaryota; Metazoa; Chordata; Actinopteri; Cypriniformes; Cyprinidae. The record is from Ensembl.